UUGGCCAUACAGAGUGGCUGCUCGCGCAAAGUUAAUUCCUGGACUCCAUGGACGUGCAUCACUCCACAAAGUGCGUCGCCACUGCUCCUGCGACGCUCGAGCGACCUGAAAAAGUUCCAUACAAAGGUCCUCUAAUGAAAUGUCGCGCGAGCCGACCAAAAUCUGCGAGUUGCCAGGUCGAACAGGUCGCGUCCCCGCGCGCGUCCCACUUAGGUCGCCCAGCUGGACGAGCGUGUACGGCGCCCGGUCCGCCGGCACCCGAUAUGACAGCAUAUUGAUCUUUCGCCUUGUAGCGUGCUUGACGCUGUGUGGUAAAGCACUGUGUUCCGCGUCUGCGUCCA
RNAcentral lists this long non-coding RNA (341 nucleotides) under Volvox carteri. Its description in RNAcentral is "long non-coding RNA (VCAR_LNC004055)". Lineage: Eukaryota; Viridiplantae; Chlorophyta; Chlorophyceae; Chlamydomonadales; Volvocaceae. The record is from RNAcentral.